UUGGUGUAGAUGAGGGAGA
Molecule: unclassified non-coding RNA, 19 nt
Filed under: synthetic construct
Source: RNAcentral